GAUGAACGCUGGCGGCGUGCCUAAUACAUGCAAGUCGAGCGAACAGACGAGGAGCUUGCUCCUCUGACGUUAGCGGCGGACGGGUGAGUAACACGUUGAUAACCUACCUAUAAGACUGGGAUAACUUCGUGAAACCGGAGCUAAUACCGGAUAAUAUAUUUAACCGCAUGGUUCAAUAGUGAAAGACGGUUUUGCUGUCACUUAUAGAUGGAUCCGCGCCGCAUUAGCUAGUUGGUAAGGUAACGGCUUACCAAGGCAACGAUGCGUAGCCGACCUGAGAGGGUGAUCGGCCACACUGGAACUGAGACACGGUCCAGACUCCUACGGGAGGCAGCAGUAGGGAAUCUUCCGCAAUGGGCGAAAGCCUGACGGAGCAACGCCGCGUGAGUGAUGAAGGUCUUCGGAUCGUAAAACUCUGUUAUUAGGGAAGAACAAAUGUGUAAGUAACUAUGCACGUCUUGACGGUACCUAAUCAGAAAGCCACGGCUAACUACGUG
This 497-nucleotide ribosomal RNA is filed under the name uncultured bacterium. RNAcentral's name for it is "partial 16S ribosomal RNA". It matches the Rfam family "Bacterial small subunit ribosomal RNA", at positions 28 to 507 of the family's 1533-position model. The record is from RNAcentral.